Long non-coding RNA from Oncorhynchus keta (chum salmon), 101 nucleotides. RefSeq lists it as uncharacterized. The record is from RefSeq and is a predicted model, not a curated record. The transcript has 3 exons. Lineage: Eukaryota; Metazoa; Chordata; Actinopteri; Salmoniformes; Salmonidae.
CACAUGAUGUUGGUGAGGUGUACACAUGAUGUUGGUGAGGUGUACACGUGAUGUUGGUGAGGUGUAUACGUGAUGUUGGUGAGGUGCACACGUGAUGUUGG